UACGUAGGGUGCAAGCGUUGUCCGGAAUUAUUGGGCGUAAAGAGCUCGUAGGCGGUUUGUUGCGUCGGCUGUGAAAACCUGAGGCUCAACCUCAGGCCUGCAGUCGAUACGAGCAGACUAGAGUGUUGCAGGGGAGACUGGAAUUCCUGGUGUAGCGGUGAAAUGCGCAGAUAUCGGGAGGAACACCGGUGGCGAAGGCGGGUCUCUGGGCCGAUACUGACGCUGAGGAGCGAAAGCGUGGGGAGCGAACAGG
RNAcentral lists this ribosomal RNA (253 nucleotides) under uncultured bacterium. Its description in RNAcentral is "partial 16S ribosomal RNA". It matches the Rfam family "Bacterial small subunit ribosomal RNA", at positions 524 to 776 of the family's 1533-position model. The record is from RNAcentral.